UCUCAAGCCCAAAUUCGAUC
This 20-nucleotide microRNA is filed under the name Populus trichocarpa (black cottonwood). RNAcentral describes it as "ptc-miR6459b". The record is from miRBase by way of RNAcentral. Lineage: Eukaryota; Viridiplantae; Streptophyta; Magnoliopsida; Malpighiales; Salicaceae.